GACGAACGCUGGCGGCGUGCCUAAUACAUGCCAGUAGAACGCUGAAGGAGGAGCUUGCUUCUCCGGAUGAGUUGCGAACGGGUGAGUAACGCGUAGGUAACCUGCCUGGUAGCGGGGGAUAACUAUUGGAAACGAUAGCUAAUACCGCAUAACAGUAGAUAUUGCAUGAUAUCUGCUUGAAAGGUGCAAUUGCAUCACUACCAGAUGGACCUGCGUUGUAUUAGCUAGUUGGUGAGGUAACGGCUCACCAAGGCGACGAUACAUAGCCGACCUGAGAGGGUGAUCGGCCACACUGGGACUGAGACACGGCCCAGACUCCUACGGGAGGCAGCAGUAGGGAAUCUUCGGCAAUGGACGGAAGUCUGACCGAGCAACGCCGCGUGAGUGAAGAAGGUUUUCGGAUCGUAAAGCUCUGCUGUAAGAGAAGAACGAGUGUGAGAGUGGAAAGUUCACACUGUGACGGUAUCUUACCAGAAAGGGACGGCUAACUACGUG
RNAcentral lists this ribosomal RNA (495 nucleotides) under uncultured bacterium. RNAcentral's name for it is "partial 16S ribosomal RNA". It matches the Rfam family "Bacterial small subunit ribosomal RNA", at positions 28 to 507 of the family's 1533-position model. The record is from RNAcentral.